This 467-nucleotide ribosomal RNA is filed under the name uncultured bacterium. RNAcentral's name for it is "partial 16S ribosomal RNA". It matches the Rfam family "Bacterial small subunit ribosomal RNA", at positions 28 to 506 of the family's 1533-position model. The record is from RNAcentral.
GACGAACGCUGGCGGCGUGCUUAACACAUGCAAGUCGAACGGAAAGGCCCUGCUUUUGUGGGGUGCUCGAGUGGCGAACGGGUGAGUAACACGUGAGUAACCUGCCCUUGACUUUGGGAUAACUUCAGGAAACUGGGGCUAAUACCGGAUAGGAGCUCCUGCUGCAUGGUGGGGGUUGGAAAGUUUCGGUGGUUGGGGAUGGACUCGCGGCUUAUCAGCUUGUUGGUGGGGUAGUGGCUUACCAAGGCUUUGACGGGUAGCCGGCCUGAGAGGGUGACCGGCCACAUUGGGACUGAGAUACGGCCCAGACUCCUACGGGAGGCAGCAGUGGGGAAUAUUGCACAAUGGGCGGAAGCCUGAUGCAGCAACGCCGCGUGCGGGAUGACGGCCUUCGGGUUGUAAACCGCUUUCGCCUGUGACGAAGCGUGAGUGACGGUAAUGGGGAAAGAAGCACCGGCGAACUACGU